CAAAAUGACUCUCGACAACGGAUAUCUCGGCUCUUGCAUCGAUGAAGAACGUAGCAAAAUGCGAUACGUGGUGUGAAUUGCAUAAUCCCGUGAACCAUCCAGUUUUUGAACGCAAGUUGCGCCCAAAGCCUUUUGGUUGAGGGCACAUCUGCCUGGA
RNAcentral lists this ribosomal RNA (157 nucleotides) under Garcinia morella. RNAcentral's name for it is "5.8S ribosomal RNA". It matches the Rfam family "5.8S ribosomal RNA". From Rfam's summary of the family: 5.8S ribosomal RNA (5.8S rRNA) is a component of the large subunit of the eukaryotic ribosome. It is transcribed by RNA polymerase I as part of the 45S precursor that also contains 18S and 28S rRNA. The record is from RNAcentral. Lineage: Eukaryota; Viridiplantae; Streptophyta; Magnoliopsida; Malpighiales; Clusiaceae.